RNAcentral lists this ribosomal RNA (664 nucleotides) under Salmonella bongori. RNAcentral's name for it is "partial 23S ribosomal RNA". It matches the Rfam family "Bacterial large subunit ribosomal RNA", at positions 1 to 712 of the family's 2925-position model. Lineage: Bacteria; Pseudomonadati; Pseudomonadota; Gammaproteobacteria; Enterobacterales; Enterobacteriaceae. The record is from RNAcentral.
AAGCGACCAAGCGUACACGGUGGAUGCCCUGGCAGUCAGAGGCGAUGAAGGACGUGCUAAUCUGCGAAAAGCGCCGGCGAGGUGAUAUGAACCCUUGACCCGGCGAUGUCCGAAUGGGGAAACCCAGUGUGACUCGUCACACUAUCAUUAACUGAAUCCAUAGGUUAAUGAGGCGAACCGGGGGAACUGAAACAUCUAAGUACCCCGAGGAAAAGAAAUCAACCGAGAUUCCCCCAGUAGCGGCGAGCGAACGGGGAGGAGCCCAGAGCCUGAAUCAGCAGGUGUGUUAGUGGAAGUGUCUGGAAAGGCACGCGAUACAGGGUGAGAGCCCCGUACACGAAAAUGCACCUGCUGUGAGCUCGAUGAGUAGGGCGGGACACGUGGUAUCCUGUCUGAAUAUGGGGGGACCAUCCUCCAAGGCUAAAUACUCCUGACUGACCGAUAGUGAACCAGUACCGUGAGGGAAAGGCGAAAAGAACCCCGGCGAGGGGAGUGAAAAAGAACCUGAAACCGUGUACGUACAAGCAGUGGGAGCACCCUUUGGGGUGUGACUGCGUACCUUUUGUAUAAUGGGUCAGCGACUUAUAUUCUGUAGCAAGGUUAACCGUAUAGGGGAGCCGGAGGGAAACCGAGUCUUAAUUGGGCGUUAAGUUGCAGGGUAUAG